RNAcentral lists this ribosomal RNA (424 nucleotides) under uncultured bacterium. Its description in RNAcentral is "bacterial SSU rRNA". It matches the Rfam family "Bacterial small subunit ribosomal RNA", at positions 355 to 776 of the family's 1533-position model. The record is from RNAcentral.
UGAGGAAUAUUGGACAAUGGGUGAGAGCCUGAUCCAGCCAUCCCGCGUGAAGGACUAAGGCCCUAUGGGUUGUAAACUUCUUUUAUACUGGGAUAAACCUACUUACGUGUAAGUAGCUGAAGGUACAGUAUGAAUAAGCACCGGCUAACUCCGUGCCAGCAGCCGCGGUAAUACGGAGGGUGCAAGCGUUAUCCGGAUUUAUUGGGUUUAAAGGGUCCGUAGGCGGACUCGUAAGUCAGUGGUGAAAUCUCAUAGCUUAACUAUGAAACUGCCAUUGAUACUGCGGGUCUUGAGUAAGGUAGAGGUAGCUGGAAUAAGUAGUGUAGCGGUGAAAUGCAUAGAUAUUACUUAGAACACCAAUUGCGAAGGCAGGUUACCAUGUCUUAACUGACGCUGAUGGACGAAAGCGUGGGGAGCGAACAGG